This 429-nucleotide ribosomal RNA is filed under the name Bacteroidota bacterium. Its description in RNAcentral is "Bacteroidetes bacterium partial 16S ribosomal RNA". It matches the Rfam family "Bacterial small subunit ribosomal RNA", at positions 355 to 776 of the family's 1533-position model. The record is from RNAcentral. Lineage: Bacteria; Pseudomonadati; Bacteroidota.
UAGGGAAUCUUCCGCAAUGGACGCAAGUCUGACGGAGCAACGCCGCGUGAGUGAAGAAGGAUUUCGGUUCGUAAAACUCUGUUGUUAGAGAAGAACAGCGCAUAGAGUAACUGUUAUGCGUGUGACGGUAUCUAACCAGAAAGCCACGGCUAACUACGUGCCAGCAGCCGCGGUAAUACGUAGGUGGCAAGCGUUGUCCGGAUUUAUUGGGCGUAAAGCGAGCGCAGGCGGUCAAUUAAGUCUGAUGUGAAAGCCCCCGGCUCAACCGGGGAGGGUCAUUGGAAACUGGUUGACUUGAGUGCAGAAGAGGAGAGUGGAAUUCCAUGUGUAGCGGUGAAAUGCGUAGAUAUAUGGAGGAACACCAGUGGCGAAGGCGACUCUCUGGUCUGUAACUGACGCUGAGGCUCGACAGCGUGGGUAGCAAACAGG